CCUAUUGAGCAGGGGCUGUGGUAACAUAGCUGAUGAGGUUCAUCCAAGGCGUGUUUAUUGCUAGUUGAAAACUAUAUUACUCUAAUGGGAAGUGAGAUGUUUUCCAGACAUAGUUGGUGUUCUGAAUAUUUUUUUCCGUUAUGAAAUG
Molecule: small nuclear RNA, 148 nt
Gene: U4
Rfam family: U4 spliceosomal RNA
About the family: U4 small nuclear RNA (U4 snRNA) is a component of the major U2-dependent spliceosome.
Source: Ensembl